AGUGAACGCUGGCGGUAGGCCUAACACAUGCAAGUCGAACGGCAGCACAGUAAGAGCUUGCUCUUACGGGUGGCGAGUGGCGGACGGGUGAGGAAUACAUCGGAAUCUACUUUUUCGUGGGGGAUAACGUAGGGAAACUUACGCUAAUACCGCAUACGACCUACGGGUGAAAGCAGGGGAUCUUCGGACCUUGCGCGAUUGAAUGAGCCGAUGUUGGAUUAGCUAGUUGGCGGGGUAAAGACCCACCAAGGCGACGAUCCGUAGCUGGUCUGAGAGGAUGAUCAGCCACACUGGAACUGAGACACGGUCCAGACUCCUACGGGAGGCAGCAGUGGGGAAUAUUGGACAAUGGGCGCAAGCCUGAUCCAGCCAUACCGCGUGGGUGAAGAAGGCCUUCGGGUUGUAAAGCCCUUUUGUUGGGAAAGAAAAGCAGCAGGUUAAUACCCCGCUGUUCUGACGGUACCCAAAGAAUAAGCACCGGCUAACUUCGUG
RNAcentral lists this ribosomal RNA (492 nucleotides) under uncultured bacterium. RNAcentral's name for it is "partial 16S ribosomal RNA". It matches the Rfam family "Bacterial small subunit ribosomal RNA", at positions 29 to 507 of the family's 1533-position model. The record is from RNAcentral.